RNAcentral lists this ribosomal RNA (90 nucleotides) under Streptomyces alkaliterrae. The record is from RNAcentral. Lineage: Bacteria; Bacillati; Actinomycetota; Actinomycetes; Kitasatosporales; Streptomycetaceae.
UUCGGUGGUCAUAGCGAUGGGGUAACGCCCGGUUACAUUCCGAACCCGGAAGCUAAGCCUGUCAGCGCCGAUGGUACUGCAUGCGGGAGC